AUGCAGUGAUGACAUGAAUUUAAUCAUCUGAAUUACAGUGUUGAGUUUUGAGCUUUUUAACCCUGAGCAUU
This is a small nucleolar RNA of Cottoperca gobio, 71 nucleotides long. NCBI's taxonomy places the organism in Eukaryota, Metazoa, Chordata, Actinopteri, Perciformes, Bovichtidae. The record is from Ensembl.